AGUGGCCAAACUACCCUAUAGACCAGUAUAACCUCGGGAAACUGAGGCUAAUGCUGGAUACGACUCUCAGUCUGGAACGACGAGAGCCACAAACGCUCCGGCGCUAUAGGAUGUGGCUGCGGCCGAUUAGGUAGACGGUGGGGUAACGGCCCACCGUGCCGAUAAUCGGUACAGGUUGUGAGAGCAAGAGCCUGGAGACGGAAUCUGAGACAAGAUUCCGGGCCCUACGGGGCGCAGCAGGCGCGAAAACUUUACACUGCACGACAGUGCGAUAAGGGGAUUCCGAGUGCGAGGGCAUAUAGUCCUCGCUUUUGUACACCGUAGGGAGGUGUACGAAUAAGGACUGGGCAAGACCGGUGCCAGCCGCCGCGGUAAUACCGGCAGUCCAAGUGAUGGCCGCUAUUAUUGGGCCUAAAGCGUCCGUAGCCAGCCAGACAGGUCCGUCGGGAAAUCCACGCGCUCAACGCGUGGGCGUCCGGCGGAAACCAGCUGGCUUGGGGCCGGAAGACCUGAGGGGUACGUCCGGGGUAGGAGUGAAAUCCUGUAAUCCUGGACGGACCACCGGUGGCGAAAGCGCCUCAGGAAGACGGACCCGACGGUGAGGGACGAAAGCUAGGGUCACGAACCGGAUUAGAUACCCGGGUAGUCCUAGCUGUAAACGAUGCUCGCUAAGUAUGGCACACACUACGAGUGUGUGCUGUGCUGUAGUGAAGACGAGAAGCGAGCCGCCUGGGAAGUACGUCCGCAAGGAUGAAACUUAAAGGAAUGGCCCGGGGGGAGAAA
This 783-nucleotide ribosomal RNA is filed under the name Halorussus sp. MSC15.2. RNAcentral describes it as "bacterial SSU rRNA". It matches the Rfam family "Archaeal small subunit ribosomal RNA", at positions 99 to 881 of the family's 1478-position model. The record is from RNAcentral. Lineage: Archaea; Methanobacteriati; Methanobacteriota; Halobacteria; Halobacteriales; Haladaptataceae.